CAAAAACUAAAUCAGGUGUCUUUUAUAUAGUUUUGUACAUCAGACUUGAAGACUAGAAGCACAGCAUAUGAUAUCUAGCUUAUUGAGUAGUGUGAUUAUCCAGAGGAUAAGAAGCAGUGUAUUUAAUAAGCCCUAAUACAUAAGAGGUACUUUCUUAUGACCUUCUAUAAUUGCGAUUCCUCCAUAUUUUUUGGCAGCGUGCUUGAAGUCGAUAGCAGCUGGCUUGCGUGGGAAAACCAAAUUUUUACCCUUUGAUGGUUUUUGCAUAUAAUAUUCAUUCUGUUGGCAUUCUUGGCGAGUAGUCGGAUCCCUGGUUUGGGGAAAGAACUUCUCUAUGAUUAUAAAUCCUUCUUGGCCAAUCUUCAAAAGAUUUUCCUGACGUGCCAUGUCAAAUUUAAACUGAUCACAGAGAAUAGAAAUUUGGUACUGGUUUUUAU
RNAcentral lists this long non-coding RNA (437 nucleotides) under Olea europaea (common olive). RNAcentral's name for it is "long non-coding RNA (OEUR_LNC011419)". Lineage: Eukaryota; Viridiplantae; Streptophyta; Magnoliopsida; Lamiales; Oleaceae. The record is from RNAcentral.